RNAcentral lists this ribosomal RNA (518 nucleotides) under Latilactobacillus curvatus. RNAcentral describes it as "bacterial SSU rRNA". It matches the Rfam family "Bacterial small subunit ribosomal RNA", at positions 28 to 507 of the family's 1533-position model. The record is from RNAcentral. Lineage: Bacteria; Bacillati; Bacillota; Bacilli; Lactobacillales; Lactobacillaceae.
GACGAACGCUGGCGGCGUGCCUAAUACAUGCAAGUCGAACGCACUCUCGUUAGAUUGAAGAAGCUUGCUUCUGAUUGAUAACAUUUGAGUGAGUGGCGGACGGGUGAGUAACACGUGGGUAACCUGCCCUAAAGUGGGGGAUAACAUUUGGAAACAGAUGCUAAUACCGCAUAAAACCUAGCACCGCAUGGUGUAAGGUUGAAAGAUGGUUUCGGCUAUCACUUUAGGAUGGACCCGCGGUGCAUUAGUUAGUUGGUGAGGUAAAGGCUCACCAAGACCGUGAUGCAUAGCCGACCUGAGAGGGUAAUCGGCCACACUGGGACUGAGACACGGUCCAGACUCCUACGGGAGGCAGCAGUAGGGAAUCUUCCACAAUGGACGAAAGUCUGAUGGAGCAACGCCGCGUGAGUGAAGAAGGUUUUCGGAUCGUAAAACUCUGUUGUUGGAGAAGAACGUAUUUGAUAGUAACUGAUCAGGUAGUGACGGUAUCCAACCAGAAAGCCACGGCUAACUACGUG